UUUAUGGAGAGUUUGAUCCUGGCUCAGGAUGAACGCUGGCGGCGUGCCUAAUACAUGCAAGUCGAGCGAACGGACGAGAAGCUUGCUUCUCUGAUGUUAGCGGCGGACGGGUGAGUAACACGUGGAUAACCUACCUAUAAGACUGGGAUAACUUCGGGAAACCGGAGCUAAUACCGGAUAAUAUUUUGAACCGCAUGGUUCAAAAGUGAAAGACGGUCUUGCUGUCACUUAUAGAUGGAUCCGCGCUGCAUUAGCUAGUUGGUAAGGUAACGGCUUACCAAGGCAACGAUGCAUAGCCGACCUGAGAGGGUGAUCGGCCACACUGGAACUGAGACACGGUCCAGACUCCUACGGGAGGCAGCAGUAGGGAAUCUUCCGCAAUGGGCGAAAGCCUGACGGAGCAACGCCGCGUGAGUGAUGAAGGUCUUCGGAUCGUAAAACUCUGUUAUUAGGGAAGAACAUAUGUGUAAGUAACUGUGCACAUCUUGACGGUACCUAAUCAGAAAGCCACGGCUAACUACGUGCCAGCAGCCGCGGUAAUACGUAGGUGGCAAGCGUUAUCCGGAAUUAUUGGGCGUAAAGCGCGCGUAGGCGGUUUUUUAAGUCUGAUGUGAAAGCCCACGGCUCAACCGUGGAGGGUCAUUGGAAACUGGAAAACUUGAGUGCAGAAGAGGAAAGUGGAAUUCCAUGUGUAGCGGUGAAAUGCGCAGAGAUAUGGAGGAACACCAGUGGCGAAGGCGACUUUCUGGUCUGUAACUGACGCUGAUGUGCGAAAGCGUGGGGAUCAAACAGGAUUAGAUACCCUGGUAGUCCACGCCGUAAACGAUGAGUGCUAAGUGUUAGGGGUUUCCGCCCCUUAGUGCUGCAGCUAACGCAUUAAGCACUCCGCCUGGGGAGUACGACCGCAAGGUUGAAACUCAAAGGAAUUGACGGGACCCGCACAAGCGGUGGAGCAUGUGGUUUAAUUCGAAGCAACGCGAAGAACCUUACCAAAUCUUGACAUCCUUUGACAACUCUAGAGAUAGAGCCUUCCUCUUCGGGGGACAAAGUGACAGGUGGUGCAUGGUUGUCGUCAGCUCGUGUCGUGAGAUGUUGGGUUAAGUCCCGCAACGAGCGCAACCCUUAAGCUUAGUUGCCAUCAUUAAGUUGGGCACUCUAAGUUGACUGCCGGUGACAAACCGGAGGAAGGUGGGGAUGACGUCAAAUCAUCAUGCCCCUUAUGAUUUGGGCUACACACGUGCUACAAUGGACAAUACAAAGGGCAGCGAAACCGCGAGGUCAAGCAAAUCCCAUAAAGUUGUUCUCAGUUCGGAUUGUAGUCUGCAACUCGACUACAUGAAGCUGGAAUCGCUAGUAAUCGUAGAUCAGCAUGCUACGGUGAAUACGUUCCCGGGUCUUGUACACACCGCCCGUCACACCACGAGAGUUUGUAACACCCGAAGCCGGUGGAGUAACCUUUUAGGAGCUAGCCGUCGAAGGUGGGACAAAUGAUUGGGGUGAAGUCGUAACAAGGUAGCCGUAUCGGAAGGUGCGGCUGGAUCACCUCCUUUCU
Molecule: ribosomal RNA, 1552 nt
Filed under: Staphylococcus aureus
Lineage: Bacteria; Bacillati; Bacillota; Bacilli; Caryophanales; Staphylococcaceae
Description: 16S ribosomal RNA
Rfam family: Bacterial small subunit ribosomal RNA
Source: RNAcentral